AUGCGAUAAGUAGUGUGAAUUGCAGAUUUCAGUGAAUCAUCGAAUCUUUGAACGCACAUUGCGCCCUUUGGUAUUCCGAAGGGCAUGCCUGUCUGAGCGUCAAUAAAUCAAUCAAACUUGGGUUUGGUAUUGGAGGAAGUGGCAGCUAUUGUCACUCUUCUGUAAGCUAUUGGCGACGCUGUUCUAGCUUGUAAGACGUAGUAAGUAAUUCCUCGUCGAAGCAACUGUCCGGCUGCCUGCCAACUGAAUGAUUUAUUUCUACAGCUUGACCUCAGAUCAGGUAGGGAUACCCCCUGAACUUAA
Molecule: unclassified non-coding RNA, 303 nt
Filed under: uncultured Ascobolus
Lineage: Eukaryota; Fungi; Ascomycota; Pezizomycetes; Pezizales; Ascobolaceae
Description: partial contains 5.8S ribosomal RNA, internal transcribed spacer 2, and large subunit ribosomal RNA
Rfam family: 5.8S ribosomal RNA (bases 1-102)
Source: RNAcentral